UACGGAGGAUGCGAGCGUUAUCCGGAAUUACUGGGUGUAAAGGGAGUGUAGGCGGGACUGUAAGUCAGAUGUGAAAUAUGCCGGCUCAACUGGCAGACUGCAUUUGAAACUGCGGUUCUUGAGUGAAGUAGAGGUAGGCGGAAUUCCUGGUGUAGCGGUGAAAUGCGUAGAUAUUAGGAGGAACAUCAGUGGCGAAGGCGGCCUACUGGGUUUUAACUGACGCUGAGGCUCGAAAGCGUGGGGAGCAAAC
This 250-nucleotide ribosomal RNA is filed under the name uncultured prokaryote. Its description in RNAcentral is "partial 16S ribosomal RNA". It matches the Rfam family "Bacterial small subunit ribosomal RNA", at positions 524 to 773 of the family's 1533-position model. The record is from RNAcentral.